RNAcentral lists this long non-coding RNA (259 nucleotides) under Homo sapiens (human). RNAcentral's name for it is "HSALNT0110795". Lineage: Eukaryota; Metazoa; Chordata; Mammalia; Primates; Hominidae. The record is from RNAcentral.
GGAUCGUUUUUGCUUUGGUAUCGGUGAUGUAAAUUCAUGAAUUAAAAUUAAGGAUUUUGAAAAGAACGGGGAAGAACGCACUUGGAUUUAGGUUGUUUUUGAAAAGGAAAAACCAAAGAGGAAAUGAUACGUUUGCAGGAGCAUUAACUGACUACUGACUGGAACAUUGGAUGCGGGUGCUUUGUGAAGAUUUGUACUCCAAAAACUUUUUUUAAAAAUUGCACGUUGGUUCUUCAGAAGAGGAUGAGGUCAUUCAACC